This 449-nucleotide ribosomal RNA is filed under the name uncultured bacterium. RNAcentral's name for it is "partial 16S ribosomal RNA". It matches the Rfam family "Bacterial small subunit ribosomal RNA", at positions 29 to 523 of the family's 1533-position model. The record is from RNAcentral.
AACGAACGCUGGCGGCAUGCCUAACACAUGCAAGCCGAACGAAGGCUUCGGCCUUAGUGGCGCACGGGUGCGUAACGCGUGGGAAUCUGCCCUUAGGUACGGAAUAACUCAGGGAAACUUGAGCUAAUACCGUAUAAUGACUUCGGUCCAAAGAUUUAUCGCCUGAGGAUGAGCCCGCGUCGGAUUAGCUAGUUGGUGAGGUAAAAGCUCACCAAGGCGACGAUCCGUAGCUGGUCGGAGAGGAUGAUCAGCCACACUGGGACUGAGACACGGGCCAGACUCCUACGGGAGGCAGCAGUGGGGAAUAUUGGACAAUGGGCGAAAGCCUGAUCCAGCAAUGCCUCGUGAGUGAUGAAGGCCUUAGGGUUGUAAAGCUCUGUUACCCGGGAUGAUAAUGACAGUACCGGGAGAAUAAGCCCCGGCUAACUCCGUGCCAGCAGCCGCCGUAA